UUCCAGACUCCUACGGGAGGCAGCAGUAGGGAAUCUUUCACAAUGGGCGAAAGCCUGAUGGAGCAACGCCGCGUGCAGGAUGAAGGCCUUCGGGUUGUAAACUGCUUUUAUAAGCGAGAAAUAUGAUGGUAACUUAUGAAUAAGGACCGGCUAACUACGUGCCAGCAGCCGCGGUAAUACGUAGGGGGCAAGCGUUAUCCGGAUUUACUGGGUGUAAAGGGAGCGUAGACGGCGGCGCAAGCCAGAUGUGAAAGCCCGGGGCUCAACUCCGGGACUGCAUUUGGAACUGUGUGGCUGGAGUGUCGGAGAGGCAGGCGGAAUUCCUAGUGUAGCGGUGAAAUGCGUAGAUAUUAGGAGGAACACCAGUGGCGAAGGCGACCUGCUGGACGACAACUGACGGUGAGGCGCGAAAGCGUGGGGAGCAAACAGGAUUAGAUACCCUCGUA
Molecule: ribosomal RNA, 446 nt
Filed under: uncultured bacterium
Lineage: Bacteria
Description: bacterial SSU rRNA
Rfam family: Bacterial small subunit ribosomal RNA
Source: RNAcentral